Molecule: long non-coding RNA, 474 nt
Filed under: Homo sapiens (human)
Lineage: Eukaryota; Metazoa; Chordata; Mammalia; Primates; Hominidae
Description: HSALNT0249182
Source: RNAcentral
GUCAAUGAAUCCAAGUUGUUUUUGUUUUGUUUUGUUUUCAUUAUGACAAAAUGGUGGCAGCCAUUCUAGACUGACACGCCACAGCAGCUGGAAGAAAGACACGAUCUUUUCCUCUGAUGCCUCUCUCAGAAGCCACUGUACCAGCCUCUGGAGGAAAUGCAAGAGACCUUCCAGACCUGAUCACCACACCCUAUUCAUAAUCUCGCCAUGGAGAAGAGACAUCCACUUAUGAAGCCAGCAGAACAGAUGUGGGCAACUUUCAAAAACGAAGUAACAAAUGGUCAGCUCCUGUUCUUCUGUAGUGCUGAGGAUGGAAGGAGAAAGAGUUCACACAGAAUGGGACCCUAGCGAUAUGAAAGUCAAGAAAAAGAAUGACAAUGAGAACUUGUGAUGUCCAUGAAUUCAAAGAAGAAAAGGGAGAGUGGUUUUACACCUUCUCCACCACCUAACCCCAAUCCUACUACCUAUAAACCU